GAUGAACGCUGGCGGCGUGCCUAAUACACGCAAGUCGAGCGAACGGACGAGAAGCUUGCUUCUCUGAUGUUUGCGGCGGACGGGUGAGUCACACGUGUAUACCCUACCUAUACGACUGGGAUCACUUCGAGAAACCGGAGCUAAUACCGGAUAAUAUUUUGAACCACAUGGUUCAAAAGUGAAAGACGGUCUUGCUGUUACUUAUAGAUGGUUCCGCGCUGCAUUAGCUAGUUGGUAAGGUAACGGCUUACCAAGGCAACGAUGCAUAGCCGACCUGAGAGGGUGAUCGGCAACACUGGAACUGAGACACGGUCAAGACUCCUACGGGAGGCAGAAGUAGGGAAUCUUCCGAAAGGGGCGAAAGCCUGACGGAGAAAGGCGGCGGGAGGGAGGAAGGUCUUCGGAUCGUAAAACUCUGUUAUUAGGGAAGAACAUAUGUGUAAGUAACUGUGCACAUCGUGACGGUACCUAAUCAGAAAGCCACGGCUAACUACGUG
RNAcentral lists this ribosomal RNA (497 nucleotides) under uncultured bacterium. RNAcentral's name for it is "partial 16S ribosomal RNA". It matches the Rfam family "Bacterial small subunit ribosomal RNA", at positions 28 to 507 of the family's 1533-position model. The record is from RNAcentral.